AUCAAAUACUUAAAGGGGAAUAUGAUAACUCAUCAUCACACUAUAAUUAAGGAGUAAAAUUAAAUAUAGUGCACAAAAUUUCAUCAUUGAUAUCAAAGAUCAAAAUUAUAUUGGCAUUGAUACAAAAAAUGCAUGCACUCUAACUAAUAAGAUAAAGAACUAUAUUAUAUAUGUCCAUAAUAAUAUAACACAACUACUUUUAGCGAAUUA
RNAcentral lists this long non-coding RNA (210 nucleotides) under Capsicum annuum. RNAcentral's name for it is "long non-coding RNA (CANN_LNC020776)". Lineage: Eukaryota; Viridiplantae; Streptophyta; Magnoliopsida; Solanales; Solanaceae. The record is from RNAcentral.